CUUGAUGGAGCCGAGCCACAGCGGCCGUCCCUCGGGCCGCUCCUGCCCGUAGGUGGCCAGCAGCGCCUGGGCCUC
This 75-nucleotide antisense RNA is filed under the name Streptomyces melanosporofaciens. RNAcentral's name for it is "ASpks TB sRNA". It matches the Rfam family "ASpks TB sRNA". The record is from RNAcentral. Lineage: Bacteria; Bacillati; Actinomycetota; Actinomycetes; Kitasatosporales; Streptomycetaceae.